Small nuclear RNA from Callorhinus ursinus (northern fur seal), 191 nucleotides. RefSeq annotates it as U2 spliceosomal RNA. The record is from RefSeq and is a predicted model, not a curated record. NCBI's taxonomy places the organism in Eukaryota, Metazoa, Chordata, Mammalia, Carnivora, Otariidae.
AUCCGUUUUCGGCGUUUUGGCUGAGAUCAAGUAUAAUAUUGGCUCUUAUCAGUUUAAUAUUUGGUAUGUUCUCUGUUCACGAACAAUAUGUUAAGUGGGUUUGUGGAGUAGGGAGAUGGGAGAGUGGCUUGUUCCAUCCAGCUUGCGCAUCGACCUGGUGUUGCGGUGCUACCGGGCCCGGUACAUCCUUC